GAUGAACGCUGACAGAAUGCUUAACACAUGCAAGUCAACUUGAAUUUGGGUUUUUAACUUAGGUUUGGGUGGCGGACGGGUGAGUAACGCGUAAAGAACUUGCCUCACAGCUAGGGACAACAUUUGGAAACGAAUGCUAAUACCUAAUAUUAUGAUAAUAGGGCAUCCUAUAAUUAUGAAAGCUAUAAGCGCUGUGAGAGAGCUUUGCGUCCCAUUAGCUAGUUGGAGAGGUAACGGCUCACCAAGGCGAUGAUGGGUAGCCGGCCUGAGAGGGUGAUCGGCCACAAGGGGACUGAGACACGGCCCUUACUCCUACGGGAGGCAGCAGUGGAGAAUAUUGGAAAAUGGACCAAGAGUCUGAUCCAGCAAUUCUGUGUGCACGAUGAAGUUUUUCGGAAUGUAAAGUGCUUUCAGUUGGGAAGAAAGAAAUGACGGUACCAACAGAAGAAGUGACGGCUAAAUACGUG
RNAcentral lists this ribosomal RNA (467 nucleotides) under uncultured bacterium. Its description in RNAcentral is "partial 16S ribosomal RNA". It matches the Rfam family "Bacterial small subunit ribosomal RNA", at positions 28 to 507 of the family's 1533-position model. The record is from RNAcentral.